AGAAACGAAGAAAACGGAUUUGGACCGGGGAAAAACGAAAGUGUUGAAUAGUCGAUCGUGUCCGCUGAUAUCCGAGGUAAGUCUAUUAGCUAUUUAAUUUUAUUAAAUUAGUAUAUGUGUAUGUAUAUCAAUUUUAUUUUUGUUGAGUUAAAUUUAAAAGUAUAAAAUUCGAAUUGAAAGUAUGAAAUUAUAUAUAUAUGUGUGAUAGGUUCGAAUGACUAUGAAUAUGCAAAUAUGCAUAUAAAUGUCCUUGUAAUAAAUUUAGGUAUGAAUAUAUAUAUGUAUAAAUUAUAUUCGAAUAUACAUGUGUAUACAUGUAAGUUUUGUUGUAUUGAAUUUAGGUAUGAAAUUACAAAGGUAUGAGAUAUAUUCGAACAUAUGCAUGUAUGUGUGAAUAAGGUGUGAAUUUAGUAUAAAAUAUUUGUAUAAGUUGGAGCAAAUAAGCAUGUAUACUUAUGAAUAAAUAUUUAUAUUGAGUAUAAGUAUGAAAUUAUAUUUAUACAUAUAUAUAUGUUAAAUUUGAAUAUGUAUGAGUAUAUAGGUAUAUAUUCUUGUUUCGAAUAUAAGCAUAGAGUAAUAUAUAUUUGUUAGAUUCGAAUAUGUAUAUAUGUACAUGUAUAAGAUCUUGUAUUGAAAUGGUAUAUGAAAUUAUAUAGAUAUAUAUGGAAUUCAAAUGUUAAAAGUACAUAGUAUAUUAUAAGUUAAAUCUUAUGAUAUUAGUAGUGGAAUCUAAAGUAUGAGGUUAUAUAUAUAAAUGUGUUUCGGUUGAAUUAUUGAAUUAUUUAAGUUAGAUUUGAUGAUUGGGAUUUAUAUAUGUCCAUGUGUUUUAAAGAUAUAAGUUAUGAAUAUUGAACUGAAUUUUAUGUGGAUUUUAUAUACAAAUAUGAAAUACAACUUCUGUGAAUUGAGAUUCUUUUGUUAAAGCUCAGUACCAAUCGGAUUUAUUGCCAGUGAAAUUAUUCAGACUAUACGUCUAGCAGGCUAAGUGCCGGUGAUCUGAAUCAGGUUAUAAACCUAGCAGGCUAAGUGCUGGUGAUCUGAAUCAGGUUAUAAACCUAGCAGGCUAAGUGCCGGUGAUCUGAAUCAAGUUCUGAAUCAGGUUAUAAACCUAGUAGGCUAAGUGCCGGUGAUCUGAACCAGGCUAUAAGCCUUGCAGGCUAAGCGCCGGUGAAUCUGUUAAAUUAAGUGAUUAUAUGCAUUUGAUAUAUAUAUAUGAUUUUGGUUAUAUGUAUAGGCUAGAUAAUAUUUUGGGAGUCGUACUUUAAUGUACUGUAUAUAUAUAAUUAAUAGCCAUACGAAAUUAGCUUAUUUUUCUUAUGGUUUAACUGAACAGAAAUGUUAUGUUUUGUUAUAAAAGGUUAAAGUAGAAUUUAUAAUUAUACUUACUUAAUAUUUCACUAAUUUAACAUAGAUGUAAAAUUUUUGAAUUCUACUGAAUGUUUGUGUUAAGUUGUGUUUUGUCAGGUAACGCCUCGUAACCCUAAUUUAUCAACGUAUACAGGUUAGGGGUGUUACAAGGGUAGUCUAUGUUCACAACUAGCUUUGCAAAUGCGGUGUUGAUAAGUGAUAGGAGCUCAUAACAUUGUUGAAUCCAUAAGAAGGACGAGAUUUCUAAUCCAAGUUUUAAAUUCAAGGCAAUUGGAAACA
RNAcentral lists this long non-coding RNA (1647 nucleotides) under Gossypium barbadense (sea-island cotton). Its description in RNAcentral is "long non-coding RNA (GBAR_LNC021770)". The record is from RNAcentral. Lineage: Eukaryota; Viridiplantae; Streptophyta; Magnoliopsida; Malvales; Malvaceae.